GUGCUCACAUAUAUGGGAGCCCAUAUACUAAAAUUAGAACCAUACAGAGAAGAUUGACAUGGCCCCUGCACAAGGAUGUCACUCAAACUCUUUAAGCAUUCUCUCUAUACAUUUUU
Non-coding RNA from Myotis davidii, 116 nucleotides. Lineage: Eukaryota; Metazoa; Chordata; Mammalia; Chiroptera; Vespertilionidae. The record is from Rfam.